AGAGUUGAUCCUGCUCAGGAUGAACGCUAGCGGCAGGCUUAAUACAUGCAAGUCAAGGGGGUAGCAAUACAACCGGCGCACGGGUGAGUAACGCGUACACAACAUACCAUAUACUGGAGUAUAGCUUUGGGAAACUGAAGGUAAUCCUCCAUAACAUUGCGAGAAGGCAUCUGAUAGCAAUUAAAGUUUCGGCGGUAUAUGAUUGGUGUGCGUUUGAUUAGCUAGUUGGUAGGGUAACGGCCUACCAAGGCGACGAUCAAUAGCUGGCGUGAGAGCGCGACCAGCCACACUGGAACUGAGACACGGUCCAGACUCCUACGGGAGGCAGCAGUAGGGAAUAUUGGACAAUGGGCGCAAGCCUGAUCCAGCCAUGCCGCGUGCAGGAUGACGGUCCUACGGAUUGUAAACUGCUUUUGUACAGGAAGAAACACUGGUUCGUGAACCAGCUUGACGGUACUGUAAGAAUAAGGAUCGGCUAACUCCGUGCCAGCAGCCGCGGUAAUACGGAGGAUCCAAGCGUUAUCCGGAAUCAUUGGGUUUAAAGGGUCCGUAGGCGGUUUGGUAAGUCAGUGGUGAAAGCCCAUCGCUUAACGAUGGAACGGCCAUUGAUACUGCCAGACUUGAAUUACUGGGAAGUAACUAGAAUAUGUAGUGUGGCGGUGAAAUGCUUAGAUAUUACAUGGAAUACCAAUUGCGAAGGCAGGUUACUACUAAUGGAUUGACGCUGAUGGACGAAAGCGUGGGUAGCGAACAGGAUUAGAUACCCUGGUAGUCCACGCCGUAAACGAUGGAUACUAGCUGUUGGGAGCAAUCUCAGUGGCUAAGCGAAAGUGAUAAGUAUCCCACCUGGGGAGUACGUUCGCAAGAAUGAAACUCAAAGGAAUUGACGG
Molecule: ribosomal RNA, 890 nt
Filed under: uncultured bacterium
Lineage: Bacteria
Description: bacterial SSU rRNA
Rfam family: Bacterial small subunit ribosomal RNA
Source: RNAcentral